GCAAAGCAAUGAAGGCUUGAAGGCUGUGUAACAAUCGAGGUCCCACUUCUGAGCUUCUCUUCCACCGAACAGACCCCGAGACCUCAGACGAGCGAGAGUGAGAAAGUGAGAAGGUGCGGGAGGGGAGCUCGACCCCGGCCGCCUUCAGACCGUUGGGCCGUUAACACCGCUCAGGCAACGCGGACCCGGGCGGGAGGUUCGGCGCCUUCUUCCCCAGCGGCACCGGACCCAGCCCGUGAUCACGGGGCACGGCGUGCCCGUCGAGUGAGGAGCGCCCUGGCCAGAUGAGCCACUCGCAAGGCCCCAAAGUGCAUUUGCAGCCACAGCCACCACUUCCAAAUCCUGGAAGCCCGCUCUGCAUCGCCGCAUUCAUGAGGCGCCUGACCCGAAAAAAAUUCACAGAACUCUAGGCGCAAAAAUGAUACAUCUCGGUAAUUUAUCGGCUAUUAGUACACCUAGA
RNAcentral lists this long non-coding RNA (460 nucleotides) under Lepisosteus oculatus (spotted gar). RNAcentral's name for it is "lncRNA (ENSLOCG00000023242.1)". Lineage: Eukaryota; Metazoa; Chordata; Actinopteri; Semionotiformes; Lepisosteidae. The record is from RNAcentral.